AUGCUAAAGAAUAAAGAUGUGGAUAAUGAUAUUGUUAAAUUGAAGCUAUUUCCGUUUUCGCUUAGAGAUCGUGCUAAAACUAGGUUUUCAUCUUUGCCUAAAAAUAGUAUUGAUUCAUGGAAUAAGUGCAAAGAUGCUUUUAUCUCUAUGUAUUUUCCUCCCGCUAAGAUCAUCUCUCUUAGAAAUGAUAUCAUGAAUUUUAAGCAACUUGAUCAUGAUCAUGUUGCACAAGCUUGGGAGAGGAUGAAAUUAAUGAUACGUAAUUUCCCUACUCAUGGAUUAAAUUUAUGGAUGAUCAUACAAUUUUUUUAUGCCAGAUUGAAUUUUGCUUCUAGAAAUCUUUUAGAUUCGGCCGCGGGAGGCACUUUUAUGGAAAUCACUUUAGGAGAAGCUACUAAACUCCUAGAUAAUAUUAUGGUUAAUUAUUCUGAAUGGCACACCGAAAGAUCUACUAGUAAAAAGGUUCAUGUUGUAGAAGAAAUUAAUGUUUUGAGUGGAAAGAUGGAUGAACUUAUGAAAUUGUUUGCUAAUAAGAGUGUUCCUUCUGAUCUUAAUGAUAUUCCUUUGUCUACCUUGAUUGAUAAUAAUAAUGAAUCUAUGGAUGUGAAUUUUGUUGGUAGGAACAAUUUUGGUAACAACGCUUAUAGAGGAAACUUUAAUCCUAGGCCGUUUCCUAGUAAUUCCUCUAAUAAUUAUGGUAAUUCCUACAACAACUCUUAUGGAAUUUUUCAUAAGAUGCCCUCUGAUUUUGAGACUAGUGUUAAAGACUUUAUGAUUUCGUGA
RNAcentral lists this ribosomal RNA (783 nucleotides) under Triticum aestivum (bread wheat). Its description in RNAcentral is "partial small subunit ribosomal RNA". The record is from RNAcentral. Lineage: Eukaryota; Viridiplantae; Streptophyta; Magnoliopsida; Poales; Poaceae.